Molecule: ribosomal RNA, 467 nt
Filed under: uncultured bacterium
Lineage: Bacteria
Description: partial 16S ribosomal RNA
Rfam family: Bacterial small subunit ribosomal RNA
Source: RNAcentral
GACGAACGCUGGCGGCGUGCUUAAUACAUGCAAGUCGAACGAAAAGGCCCUGCUUUUGUUGCUUUGUCGUGUGCCGAAGGGGUGAGUAACACGUGAGUAACCUCCCCCUGUCUUUGGGAUAACUCCAGGAAACUGGGGCUAUAACCGGAUAUGAGCUACUGCUGCAUCGUGUUGGUUGGUAAAAUUCGGCGGUUGGGGCAGGAGUCGCGGCAUAGCAGCCUCUUGGUCGGGUUGUGGCUUAAACAGGCUACGACGGGUAGCCGGCCUGGGAGGGUGACCGGCCGCAGUGGGCCAGAGAUGCGGCCCAGACUGCUACGGGAGGCAGCGGUGAAGAAUAGUGAACAAUGGGCGGAAGCCUGGUGCAGCGACGCCGGGUGGGGGAUGUCGGCCUUCGGGUUGUAACACACUUUCACCUGUGACGAAGCGUCAGGAAGGGUAAUGAGGAGAGAAGCACGGGUUAAUAAGGU